This is a long non-coding RNA of Lineus longissimus, 285 nucleotides long. RefSeq lists it as uncharacterized. The transcript has 3 exons. NCBI's taxonomy places the organism in Eukaryota, Metazoa, Nemertea, Pilidiophora, Heteronemertea, Lineidae. The record is from RefSeq and is a predicted model, not a curated record.
UCAACGUUGCCAUUUAAGAGAUUUUCUAACUCAAGAAUCAUGUUGAAGAUUGUAGCGGUUGGCUCAGAUGGAAUUGCCGGAACAUCACAGUCAGACUGGUUAGAACAAGGUUCGACACCUCAAGAUCCUCUCAUCAAUAUCAGCUGCAUCCCAUUCCGAAGGAAGAACGAUUCUGUAGACUAUGUUUUGUCCUGGAGUGCUGCUGCAGCAUAUCUGUGUACGUAUUCGAUUAGUUGGAUGCCAACGGUACCUUCGCCUUUAGAUAUACCUGCAAGUUAUGAUCAU